AUUUAGAAACUUAGCCAAACAGGCUAUUACAUGUUUGGUUUCUUAACUUGCUUCACUUGGAUAUAAAAUUCACAAGGUAAAUAUAUCACAAAUUAGUCUGGAGGUCUACGAUGGCCCUUGCUUCAUUUAGAUCAUACAAAUUAGUCUGAAGAUAUUUUGGAAACAUGAGCUUGCUCUGAAAGUCAGCUAGUAAGUCCAUACUUCAACUAUACAAGCAAAUGAGCAUCAUGAACUCCAUUUCAUAUGUUGUCUGCGAACUGGCGUUGUUAUGCAAGAAAAAGUGGGGUACUCACUGGGACUUUCAUGCCAAAAAGUCUCUUUUCAAGACUACUUGUCAUAUACCCACUUUAAUCCACCUCAUUAUCCAUUCUUUUCAACUUAACAAAUUCACCCACAAGUUUUUAAUAAUACACUUUAACCCACCUCCAUCAUCCACAAUUAUAUAUAAAAUAAUUGGGUUUUCAAAAAUAAUUAAAAAAAAAAUCCAAAAUCUUAAAAUAGAAGCUUCCAUUUCCGUCCAAAAAGCUCUGAUUCAGGACCAAUUCCGACGUUAUUUUUCGACGAUCAGCUCUAAAUCAGUCCACAAACAUCAUAAGUUUUGCCAUUGCAUCCAUUGUUACCCCAUUUGUUUGUUAUCUUCUCAAACACACUUUUCACCAUUGUUAAAAAGUUUUAAAUCACUCACAUUACUCAAAACCUCUUUAGAAAGUACAUUACAAUAGCUCAGGCGACUCCAAGUUUAUUUCUCUAUUCUAUAAACCCACCAAUUGUUGAUUAGAAGCAAUAUUUGUAAUUUCAAGGUUUUUGUAUAGAUAUCUACCCAAUCAUCGACUGUACAUAUAUCCCAAUAUAGACUAUCAGCAUAAUCAACCAUCGACCAAAGCUUAAUUCUAGGAUGUCUAUUGCAGAAUUUAUUCUGAUUUUUGAUGAUUUCAUGAGAGAUAGGAGGAGACUCCUAAAUAUUGGAAAUGGAAAUCUUUUACCAAGGAGACACUACCCAUUGUUAUUCGCUGCAAUGGAUCAUACGACGACUUGGUUGUAAGCAUAAUGGAGAGUGGGAUCUACAUUGCGCACUAAGCGACAAGGUGAUUAGUUAUGUAAUGCAUUCGAGAGAAAAGGUACAUCCUACGAUCAUAAAUAAUGAUAUACACGUGUCAUUUUACAUGAUGGAUGUUGAUGGCUUUAGGCCUAUUUUAAGGAUAAAUGUAGUUGAGGGGCACUUUGAAGAACCGUUGAAUUCAUCAUCCCCACCUCGGUGUCUGAUAGUCGACAAUGAUUUGAAUGAUUAUGAGAAUAAUGGAGAUCAUCCAAUUAAUAUGGAAGAUAAUUCUAUGGAUAUGGAAUUUGAUUUAUCGAACUCGCAAGAUGUAGAAGAAUAUUGUGGAAUAGGAUCACAACCAAGCCAUUCCUUCAUUGAUGGAACUAAUUUCUAUUGUGAUUAAACAUUUGCCGAUAAGAAAGAGCUGCUACUAGACUGAGCAUCGGUGAGGCAGUCUUUUGAUUAUAUUACGGAGAAGAGUUGCACCAAAUUGUUGAAGGUAAAAUGUGUAUCUCGUGGUUGCGGCUGGUUAUUGUGGGUAAGGAUGUACAAAUGCUUGGACAGAUUUUGCAUAUAUAAGUAUGUUUGGUUCUACACGUGCGGUAUUGAACACGCCAUGGGCAGGCACAAGAAAAUCUCAUCUUAGAUCUUUGUUUCACUAUACGUAAAUCAUUUUUGUGAUGGUAAGGGUUCAAGCAUAAGAGAAAUUCAGAGGAUUGUGUUUAGGGAGAUGCUUAUUCAAUGAAUACAAUUGAAGAUUACCUUGAUUAGAUUCACGAAGAGUAAAAAUUAUUUGAUAAUAAAUUCAGAUCACAUAUAUAGUCUAUCGUAGGUAAGCAAAUCGAUCUACGCUACACCAGAUAAUAUUUUAUGCACUACCAUUAAUCUUAUAUAUUGUCACUCUUCGACCAUACAUAUAGGUCGAUCGUAAACCAUAUGAAUCGAUGGACCAUCAGUAGCUUGUAGUUUGAAAGAAAAUAAUUAAAUUAAAAAAAGUUUAAACACAUAAUUACUUGAACUGUUGAGCUGUUGGUUAAACAAUCUUGAACUGUUGGUGACAUUUAAUAGACUGUCAUCGAUGUUGACCCAUGUCAAUUUCACGUAAAAAAUACUUGUGUUUUGAAGGUUCCAUCGAUUCUUUUGGUCUAUCAAAAACUUACACUGUAGGUCGUACAUGGAUUGCCCUCUUGAUCAUUCGUAGAUCACAUAGAUCUAUGUACAUGGUUAUAGACCCUCACUUAGAUGUUGUUUAAAAAUGAAUAAUUAAAUAAAAAAUAAACAAAUUGUAGAUACAUAUAUGAAGGAGUUUAAACAAGUCACAUGAUUUUGUUAGAGCUUACACAUAUUGGGGGUGGUGAUUGAAGGAUUAUGUGAAUGGUUAGUGGUUGAACAAUCAGCAUCCUCAAAGUAAUGUUUGUCAAAGCACAAGUAUGUUUUGAGGAUGUUGAUUGUAUUUGAUGACUACCCAUCCAUAUACUCUUUUGAUUUGGGGGUGGUGAUUGAAGAAGUACGUGGAUGGGUAAGAAUCAAAUAUAAUCAACAUCCUCAAAACAUACUUGUACUUUGACAAACAUUACUCUUAGGAUAUUGUUUGUUCAACCACUACCCAUCCACACACAUCGUAAUUCACCACCCCUAAUUUGUAUAAGCUUUAAUAUGAAUAUGUGACUUAUGUAAACUCAGUCAUAUGUGUAGAAUUCCACACUCCAUUUAUUUUUUAUUACUUUAUUCAUUUUUAAAUAACAUGCUAGUAAGGGUCUAUAAUCAUGUACAUACAUCUACGAGAUCUACCAAUGAUCCAAAAAUCAAUCGAUGCACUAUCUACGGUGUCAGUCUAUGGUAGACCAAUUGAAUCGAUGGACCCUCAAAGCACAAGUAUAUUUUUUACUUAAUUAUUUUCUUUUUAAACAUGUUAUUGAGGGUCCAUCAAUUACGAGUGUUGGUGAUAGACUUUAAUAUCUUGUUGAUGAUUUACAUAGGUCAUGAUCAAUGACAGUCUAUUAAGUGUCAUCAACAGUUAAAAAAAUACAAUUACUGUUCCAACGGUAACAAACGACUAAUUUUGUAUUCCUUCAAUAUUAGCACUUCUUUUUACUUUAUAUAUAAAGUCUUUCAUCCCUUAUUACUUUAUGUCAUCCACCUUGUUUUUAUUUUAAUAUUCUACAAUGUCUCAAGCAUCUCAAACAUCCAAUUCUGAAAAGACUCUAAUUUGUCAUUGUGGAAAUGCGACUGUCUUAAGGACAUCACGAACGGACUAAAAUUCAAGUCGUAAAUCUUAUAACUGUGCAAUUGCGAAGGUGAGUCGUGCAUGUCUUAUUUUAAAAUUAAGUAAAUCGUUAGGUAAUUAUUAUUAUUUUCUAGGAUAAUGGCACAUGCUAGUUUUUUAAAUGGCUUGAUGACGAAUCACCUUCAAGCAGUCCAUGAAUGUUGAGUUUGGGACCCGAGACAUCAAAUUUUCAUGGCGUGAUAAAAUUUAAUCUACUACAAAGGUUCCAAGAAUACGAAGAAAAUAGAGAUUUUCCCAUGACUUUAUUCAAAGAAGUCGAAGAGCAGAGAGAUCACUUGAAAGUAUUAUUACAAGACACCUAAAUAGAGAAGAAUCAACUAAAACAAAAAUUGGAUUUGGCUAAAGAAAGAAAGAAUGGCCUAAAAAUGAUGUUAUGUGGUAUAAUGCUUGUAUUCGUUGUUUGGAAAGGUGUAACAUGAAUGUAGUGAGAUUGAACAAAUAAAAAUACUUUUAUUUUUCUAUAAUGUUAAUACUGUUUUUCAUAGAAUCAUAGUUGAUUAAACUACACAUCGACUUAAAAUCGAGUAGCAUGAUAAUGAUAGACUAUGCUAACAGUAUACGAAAGAUUAAAUAUUGCAUUCUAUGAUGUCAACCAUACACUGUAUCAGUUAUGACAACGCAAUACAUAUUCAAAUUUCAUGCAAUAAUACAGUUUGAUAAAAACAAAUUCAAUGCAGAAUCAUAACAAUUUUUAUAAAAAAUAAAUAAAUAAAUUGUCAUAUCCUAACAACAGAUCAUUCAACUCUGUUGUUUCUCAAAUAAAAAAAAAUCUUGAACAUUAACAAUAUUAGCAUUCAAAUGUCUUUUUCUUCAUCAUCACAAAUGUUAUCGUUGUUGAAAUCAACGAUAUUCAUGACCACAUCUUUUUUACCUACUUCUUCUUUUUCUUCUUUCUGUCCAUUUUUUUUUGUCUUCUCUUUCUUCUUUGUCUGCUGCUUCUUCCUUUCCGUCUUCAGCUUCUUCUUCAAUAAUUCUGUCAUUGUCAAUUUAUAAACCACGAGUCUACUAACAGAAAUAAUUCAAUGCACAAAUAAAAAAGCCAAAAUAAUUAAGAAUUAGCCCACCAUUAAACAGUUCACAACGUGAUGAACGAAAAAUUUUCAAUCAAACAUGCAGUAUCAAAACUCAACUAUUGCUACAAAUCAAACUAAUUAGCUAUUAAUAUUUUAAUUUUGACUAUUUCAUCAAUCAUAAUUUAAAAGAAUUUCACACACCUAAAUAUUAAUUUCAAUCUAGGGCAUUAUUGUUUCAUAGACCACAAAUCUAUGGACAGAAUCAGGCAACUGCUCCAAUCAAAUAUCCAAAAUAACUCAUAAAUUAACAAUUAUCCCACCAUCAAUACUGCAGUACUCAAAAAAUACCAGAACUAAAACAAAACUCCUUUAACAAAAACUUUAAAAUUCAACACUGUGAUCGACGAAAAAAUCUGUCGAAACUACUGAAUUAAAACUCAACCAUUACUUUGGAAUCAAACUAAUUAAUUACCUAUAAAAUUUUCAUAUUUUAACUAUUUAAUCAACCACAUUCGAAAAAAAAUCCUAUUCUACAUUACUACGAAACGGUUAAUAAUAAAAAUUGAUAAAAUGGAUCUACAAAUAAUCGAAACUUGAUUUUAACUUACCUUAAAAAGCAAAAACGAUCCCUUUGUGUUGGAGAAGAAGAAAAAUAAAAAAUGGCGUUUGGAAGAAAUUUCUUGUAAGUAGAGGGAGAGUUGAAGUUGAAAAGAUGAGAGAAAAGGGAUUUUAUUUAAUAUUGAAAUAAGUGAAGAGUGUUAGAUGUAUUAUAUUAAAUUCUCAAAGUUUGAAAAUGAUGAAAAGGCCCCUCGGCCCACAUGUGGACUCCACUUUUACAACUUUUCCUCACUUUUUUUAUCCUAACCCUAAAAAUUAAAUUAAAAAAAAAAAUAGUGGGUAUAUAACAAAAUAGUUUUGUAAAGUGGCUACUAUGCCAAUUUUUCCCUACUCACUGCAUGAAAGUCUAGCUGUUAUCUCUUCCUGCGCUUCAACUCCCCCUGGCCAUUGAAUCAGAUAUGGCUUAGGUAAAAAGUUAACAAGCAACAGAUAAAUUAGAUUUCAAGUUCCAUGAAUGACUAUAUUUCAAGCAUAGCAUAUUCUGAAGCUAAAAGUGUGCCAUGUCCUAAUCACCUCCCCCAAUACUUCUUCCGACUACCGCUAUUAAAACUAUCCAUAGCCAAAUUCUCACACUUACGCACUGGGGCAUCCAGACAUAUCCUCUUUACAUGUCUGAACCAUCUCAGUCUCACUUUCCGCAUCUUGUUCUUCACAAAAGGCACUCCCAUCUUUUUACGAAUGUCCUCAUUCUAAUCUUAACUCUCCUAAUAUGUCCACACAUCCAUUACAACUCUUCAUUUCUGCAACUUUCAACUUCUAAAUAUUAAGAGCUUUUGAUUGGCCAAACUCCUACCCAUACACAAGUUUUUAUUUUUAUAUAGAUAAUUUAUAUAGGUUUCGCCACAAUUUAAUAAACCUAUCAAUGAUACUUGCCUGAGUUUUGUAUUAUUCAAUAUUCAAGUUAUUUAGGAGCAAUUUAUUUAGUGUUUUAAUCCCUAAGGUUAGCUAAGUUCAACAGCAUAUAUUGAUGUAAGGUUGUUUUCGAUCUAUGCAAGUGAAUCUCCCCUCGUUGUUAGACUACACUAGGUAUGUUAUUGAUGUUGUAAUAAUUGUUAAUCUCAUAGUGAAAUUUAUCAAUAUAGAUCUUCCAAAGGAUAUUAAGUUAAUCAAUUUGUUUGAUUCUUGUUAAACAUAUAGCUGCAUAUAAGAAAUUGUGUCCUUCGCUCUUGUAGACUGAAUGAAAUAAAUUUCCUGUAAGAAGAAGAAUCCAAAACACCGACAAAACCAAAACAAAAAUAAAUGAUUAUUAGGUAUGCAUUUUAGUAAAGUUGCAUAGUUGAUUUGUUUUUGUUUAGAUAAAAAUUGAACCAUGCAAACCCUUAUUCCCUACAUUCAAUUUCCUUCUAAUCCGUAUAACUAUGGAAUUCUUUUCAACUAGGGAGUGACGGACAAACUAUCAAAAUACAAGCAAUCCGAUGACUGGAUAUCAACUUAGAUUGGUCAUUAGUCAUUGAUUUUAUCACUAGUCUCAUACAUUAGGUAUCAUGAUAGACCUAAGAAGAUCCUUUGCUCAGUCCCAGCAUUCUCUCCUUCCUUUAGGGUGAAGGAAUCUGACAUACUAUGAGAAAUCACGUGACUAAACAUGCAAUUCUCCCCUUCUUACCGAGCCCGUCACUCUCUUUUGACGUAACUGAAAGAUCCCAACAACCAGCUUCAUAUAAGAACAUAGUGUAAGAAAGCAAUCAUUACCAUCCCAUCUCUAUCACAAACAGAAACCGUCCAUUAGCUAAUUCUGAUUUUUGAUAAAUAAGGACAUUAGCUGACUUGAGAUACAAUGCCUGCUAAUAACAAUAAUACUGGAACAUCUCAAGCUAUCAAGUGUAUGCAACAUAUUCUUACCUUUGGCUCAACAUGAAACGAGUUCAAAGGUCGUUUGUCAGCAUCUUUCGAUGAACAGAGAGAACACAAGAAAGGGUCUAAUUUCUUUGCUUCUUCAAUGGUCAUACUCAUACAGGUAGGAUGGAACCUGCAGUAAAAUUACAAAAAAAUUAAGACCAUCUGACAAAAAUGGAUACCUUUGAAUAAGUUCUUAAAAACAUAGUUAGCUAACAAUCAUAGCUUAAGAUUAAUAGAAUCUAAUGACCAACUCAGGCCUCCCUCAAAUACAGGAUGUUGACCAACAGAACAAGAAUUCCACUCAACGCAUGUAGAGGCAAUUACAGCCGUAAGAAUUUUCCUACCUCCACUCCAAAAUAAUGUGGCCUUCUGUUCCCUUUCAAGUUCCUCGAGCUCAGCCAAAUACAGAAAAUUUACACUCAUCCUUUCUAGUUACUCCCUCUGUUCACUUUUAACUGUCCAGUCCACCUUUUAAUUGUCCAGUCUGGACUUUGCACGCCCCAUAAGAAACAAUGAUUAAUAUGACUACUACCACAAUACCCAUAUUCAUUGAUGUUAAGUCCUAGGUCUUGGAAAAGGAUUUGGCGAAUAAGUAACUGAUGUUGAGGGUAAAACGUGGAAUAUAUGUUUUUCUCUUGAUAUGCUACAAGUGACAAGUAAAAGUGAAAAUGUAUUUUUAGUAUAGAGGACAAGUAAAAGUGAAUGGAGGAAGGUACUAUUAGUCAACAUCAAUUACAAUAUUUACCUUCCAUAUUUAGCUUUAAUAUCUUUCAUAUAUUAGGAAGUUGAUUAUAUAUUAUUAGUCUAGAAUAUUUUGUAAUUAUAUUUACCAUGUAUAGUUCUUACCAUGAAUAGGAUUUGCCAUGUAUAAUUUUCCUUGUAACUUUAAAAGGAGAUGAGCUCCUUCGUUAAAAGAGAUAUAGAAAAUCAAAGUUUUUCCCUUGUUCAUAUGGUAUGAGUGCUUUAGUUUUUUUUUCAGUCUUCUCCCCCUUUUUUUUCCUCUCCUUCUAUUCGUGUUUUUUUCCCGUCCAUUCCAAUGGGUUCUCAUCAUCAAUGUUCGGCAAUGAAACUUGAUGGAAAUAAUUAAUUUAUGCGUUCUUCGUAUUUUCAAAAUUUUCUUGAGGGAAAAGAGCUUUGGGUUCAUGUUACUUUGCCCAAACCUAAAACCACGGCUGAGAAUGCCGAAGUCAUCUCCAAAUGGUGUGUUUCUGAUGCAAAGGUCUGCACUUGGAAUAUGGAGUCUGUUGGUAGCACAAUUGCUCAGAAUCUUAGUCCUAUAACCUCUGCUCGUACGAUGUGAGAUUACCUUCAAUGAAUCUAUCAACGUAGUAAUGAUGCACGAAUUUAUCAAUUGGAACGGUCUCUUACAUCUCUUUCUCAAGAGACCGCCAGCAUUCAAGAAUUUUAUUGUUCCAUAAUAUUGAUUUGGAAUGAGAUGGAUGUGAUUGAUGACACCAAUAUUCUAGAAGCGGUACUUGAAACGGUCCUUAAAAUGCUAUAGAAAUCUAUUUUUCGUACGUUUCUUAUGGAGUUACGAUUAGAGUUCGAGUAUAUUUGGGCCUCUAUUCUCAACCGCAACUCAGUCUCUUUGCUUGAUAGUAUUCUUGUUGAUCUUCUUGCCGAAGAGAACUGUUUGGCCUCUCUCUCUCUUCUCUGAGUUCCCCUCCUAAUUCCUUUGCUGCUUACAAAGGAAAGUAUCGUGACUUGUCUACUGUUGAGUGUUUCAACUGUCAUGAGAAGGUUCAUUAUGCUUCUCAUUGCUGCAACCAGAGAGGUUCCACCUCCAAAUUAUUUUGUCGAUAUUGCAAGAAAAAUGUCAUCUGAUAGAAAAUUAUUAGAUUUGUCCACCACAUUCCAUCCAUUUGACCACUUCUGCAGCCUUUACAUCUACCAUUGAUCCUCCUGAUGGUUCCUCUUCUUCUUUACCUGUUGACCUUGUCCAGCAACUUAUCAAAGGUCUUCAUGCUGUAGGUUUUGGUAAGCCUAAGUUGACUACUCCUUGGAUUAUAGAUUCGGGUUCCGCUCAUCAUAUGACUAGUGACUUGACAACCUUUGCUUCCUCAAAGCCUCCUUGGGUCCCUGGGACUAUCACUGUUGCCAAUGGAAUGAAUCUUGACAUUCAGAAAAGUGGCACUUUAAAGUAUAUCUUUCCUGAUUCUCCUCCUCUAGUCUUAUCUGAUGUUCUUUAUGUCCCUAAAUCAUCUGUUAAUUUGAUUUUUGUUAAUCGACUUGUUGACAAACAUUGCUUAGUUUCUUUCUCACCUAAUGGUUGCCUUAUUCAGGAUCUGAGAACCGGGAAGGUGAUUGACCAAGGCCGUAGAUAAGGGGAACUCUUCAAUUAGAUUUGGGCUCAUCCUUCAACUCUCACAAGUGUUUUCUUGCUCCAUCUUCUCAAGAGGUCGACUCAGUCAACGCUUUUUGAAAACUGUGGCAUAGGCGCUUGGGACAUCCUAAUACUCAGAGUUUCAAGUCUUUAUUUUUUUCUGGUGACUUUAAGAAUAAUGUCACUAUUGAUUGUGAAUCUUGUGCUUUUGGAAAAUCACAUUUGUUGCCAUUUAAUAAAAGUGUUCAUCAUACUAUCUCUCCAUUUAAACUUAUUCACUCUGAUGUUUGGGGUCCUGCGAGCUCUAAGUCACUCUCUGGCAAUUCUUAUUAGGUUAUAUUUCUGGAUGAUGUAUCUCAAUAUACAUGGAAUUACUUUCUUAAACACGAAUCUGAGGUAUUCAAGGUCUUUAAGUAUUUUUAUGCCAUGGUCCGUACUUAAUUUGAGAAAAAUAUAAAGAUCCUUCUCACGAACUCAGGUGGUGAAUACAUCUCUAAAGAUUUUGAGCAUUUCUUUGCUACUUAAGGUGUCAUUCACUAGAAAACUUAUCCUCACCAGUCUCAGCAGAAUGGUGUAGCUGAACAAAAGCAUCGCUAUAUUAUCGAAACAGCCCAUGCUCUUCGACUUCAUGCCAGUUUACCACAAGUAUUUUGGGCUGACAGUGUCCACACGGCAGUGUACCUCAUUAAUCGGAUGCCCAGUAUGGUUCUCAAAAAUAAGUCCCCUUUACAAAAGCUCUUUAACACUAAGCAUUUGUAUGAUAUUUUUUGUGUUUUUGGGUGUACGUGUUAUGUGCUUCUUCCAAGAUCUGAGUACUCUAAAAUUGAUGCCAAAUCUGCCAAAUGUAUUUUUGGGGAUAUUCAGACACUCAAAAAGGAUAUCGUUGUUAUGACUAGGAUGCUAGACGAGUGAGGAUCUCACGCAAUGUUCUAUUCUUUGAGGAUUCAUUCUCAUUUUGCUAAACUGCGGAAUCAACAGAUGCUAUUGUUCAUUCGAUUCCCUUAUCGUCAUACUUUGAUGAUGAGCCUGAUCCUAAUGUGAGAGUUCCCCUGGCUGCUCCUCCUUCUUCACCGUCUCUAGAUCCAGGUAUCCCCUCUUCUUCUUCUUAUAUUCUUGUCUCUUUCGAAACACUACAUAGUGCAGUCACUACCCAAUCUAGUCUGGUUAGUAAACCCCCUUCCUGACUAUCUUUUUUAUCUUCACUUGAUCAUAUAUUUAUUCCUAGAUCUUAUAAAUAGACGUCUGACAGUAAAGAAUGGACCCUUGCUAUGCAAAUCGAACUUGAUAAACUAGCACGAAAUCAUACAUGGGAUUUGGUUCCGGCACCAUCGGAUCAAACUAUGGUUGGAUGUAAAUGGUUCUAUACUCUGAAGCAAAACUUUGAUGGCACAUUGGAUUAAUAUAAAGCUCGCUUGGUAGUGCAAGGCUUUAAGCAAGAUAUGGGAUCGAUUAUGAGGAAACAUUUGAUCCUGCGACUAAAAUGACUUGUUCAUACAUUAUUGGCUAUUACGGCAGUUCGACAAUGGGACAUCUCGCAGAUGGAUGUCACUAAUGCCUUUUUUAAUGGUGAGCUUUUCGAGACUAUAUUUAUGAAAUCUCCUCCUGGCAUCUCCACUUUUCCAUCAAUAGUAUGAAAAUUGCGAAAGGCUAUUUAUGGCUUAAAGCAAGCUCCACACGCUUGGUUCUCCAAGUUGAAGUUUGUUCUUCUGCAAGGUGGCUAGCGACAGAGCCAUAAUGAUUAUUCUCCGUUUAUUUCUGCCUCACCACAAGGGAUAGUUUUUGUGCUGAUAUAUGUGCAUGAUCUCUUGAUUACUAGGGAUGAUGCAGAAGGUAAUUUGCAGCUUAAAGGUAUGUUACAAUCUUCAUUUCAAAUGAAGGACUUGGGGCAUGCAUUUUAUUUUCUUGGUCUCGAAAUCUCUCGUAAUGCUAGUGGCUACUUUCUCCACCAACGAAAGAAUACCUAAGAAAUUUUAGACAUGGCUCACCUGACUAAUGAGACCAUUAUUGAUAUACCCAUGUAGCAGAACACUCAUUAUUUUAAGACUGAUGGGGAACCUCUCUCAUACCCGACCCUCUAUCAUGCUUUGUUGGGAGCUUGGUCUACUUAACUGUCACUAGACCUAACAUUGCUCAUGCAAUUCAUAUUUUUAGUCAGUUUGUGUCUGACUCUUGACGGCUUCAUCUUACGGUUGUUCAUCACUUUUCCGUUAUCUUUGAUCAACCGCAACUAUGGGUCUGUAUUACAGUCGUGACUCACCUACUCUUCUGCCUUCCUUCUUAGAUGUUGAUUAUGGUGGGUGUCCCGACACUCGUCAUUCGACCACUGGGUAUUGUGUGUUUCUCGACAACUCCUUGCUAUCUUGGAAGUCAAAGAAGCAAGCAACCAUGUCCAAAUCAACCACCGAAGCAAAAUAUCGUGCCAUGUCAACUACUUGUAAUGAAGUGGUUUGGUUACGUCGUUUGUUGGCUGAUCUAGACAUUCAAUCUUCCUCUCUCACUCCUAUUUAUUGUGACAAUGAAAGUGCUGUAAAGAUUGCAACCAAUCCUGUUUUUCAUGAAUGAACCAAGCAUAUCGAGAUUGGUUGUCACUUUGUUCGGAAAAAAAUUCAAGAUGGUCUUAUUUCUCUUCCUUAUGUUUCCUUUAGAGAUCAAUUGUUGGAUUUUUUCACCAAGUCACAAACCAAGAAACGACAUGAAUUCUUUAUUGACAAACUUUUGGUUGACCACCAUCAGUUUGAGGAGAGUGUUAGUCAACAUCUGUUACAAUAUUUACCUAUCAUAUUUAGCUUUAAUAUCUUUCAUAUAUUAGGAAGUAGAUUAUAUAUAAUUAGUCUAGAAUAUUCUGUAAUUAUAUUUUACUAUGUAUAGUUCUUACCAUGUAUAGGAUUUGCCAUAUAUAAUUUUCUUUGUAACUUUAUAAGGAGAUGGGCUCUUUCAUUCAAAGGGAUAUAGAAAAUCAAAGUUUUUCCCUUGUUCAUAGGUACAUCUUUUCCAACUUUACAAGAUUUUUUAUUUUUUGAGAAGCUUAUUUAGAUUGUCCUUGUCUCAACCUUUUUUCUAUUUUGUAGUUCAACCUUAUUCUCAACUCACUCGGAUAAUUGAUCAUUUUCAUCAUUUCUCUCUCAUUAAUUCCCUUAAAGGAACUUAUACAUCUAUAGAUUCAGUUCAAACUAAUAGACCAAUCAUUCUCAGACGAUUGGCACUAUAUUAAUCUAUUAGACCCAUUCUCUCUUAUAAACAUCUAGGGACAUCUUGACUUCAAAUCUAAACUAUACCCAUAAAGAGGUUCCAGUUCUUGUCAGAGUAUUUGUUAGAACUUUGGGCAGAAAUUUGAAAAAUUGAGCACAUCUACAACAAUAGCUUUUUUAUUUGUGUGACAUAUUUUAAUAAAUGAAAAUUGGGCUGAAAGCAUUGAAAAUAAGUAAUCUCAGAGCAAUUCGCUGCUUUUAGUAACACAACAUGGAUAGUGAGCAACAAUGACGUGAUAACUUAAAAAAACUAUCUCAGAAAUAAGAUAUUCUGAGAGGAAGAGGGAUAUGGCAAUCUCUUUGUUGCAUUUCAUGAUUUAUGUCCCUGGAUGUUGGUCAUGUGGCCAUUUAUCUGUCUUUGCAACUGUUCAUUAAUGCAGUUAGAGAAACUUCAAAAAGACGUAUCCCUCUCUCUCAAAUUACUUUUUAACCUAAAGUUUAGAGUACAAAAUGCAAACUUGGUUGUUGGUUUCCAUGAAAACAAGAAUAAAGAUAUUUAUACGUUGUUUGUCUUACUUUCCUUUUUAGUUCAUUUAAUCUAGAAUGUCUCUUUUCUUUUUUGACAACUUUUAAAUUCUAUCUUUUCACGUGCAUGUUUAAGAUCACAAAAUUAAAUGAUAUUUUGGUAUAUUUUACAUAUCUCUAAUUUAAAACCAUAAGAUUCAAAAGUCAUAUUUACUUUUUCAAACUCCCUAUCAAAUCAAAUUCAAGCCAAAUAGACAAAAAAAAAACAGAGGAAGUCUCGAUUUAUCCCAUUUUUCUCAGCAAAAUGAUGCCCUCUAGCAAGAGUUCAUACCAUCAAGAACAGUGCAUGGUUGAUGAUUAUUAGCAUCCCCGAACAGUGAGUGAUAAACAUCACCUCAAAGGAUGGUCACUUGCGAGAGCAAGAUUAUUAUGUUUUACAAUAUAUUAACUUUUUAAUUAAUAAUUUCUGAAGUACAAAUAAAUUCAAUGAUAAGAACAUAUAAAUAUAUUUCUGAUUCAUGGCUUUGUUUUUGGAGUAUCUUGUUCCUUGUCAUCCUCACACUUUUAAGUUGCUCAAAUUGAAAGGAAUAAGAAAUCAUAUCCAGCGUGUAUGUUUAGAAAAAGAAAAGAGAACAUGGUCCUUUCAACUUUUGAAUGGUAGCACUGUGAAAGGAGUGAAAAAUGCAAGCACUUUUAAGAAUAUUUCCCGCACUUUUUCAGUCAAUUUUCUUACUUUAUUAUGUGAGAAAAGGAUCAAAAAUACCCCUCUACGUUAGUUAAUUGACCAAAUUUGUCCUUUGUUAUACUUUAGGAUCAAAUAUACCCCUACCGUUAACAAAGUAUAUAAACAUAUCCUCAUUUUAACGGUUGUCCACCAUGGCCUGACAUUUGAUGAGGUGGACGCCACAUGGCAAUGCCACCUCACCACUAGAAUUUCAUUCCUUAAUAUUCUUUUUUUCCAUUUCAAAUUUUAUCCUUUUUUCUUUUCUCUUCAAAUCAUAAAUGCGUUCUUUUCGGCUCCAUUAACAGCAUUCUAUUUAAGACUUAUAGUACAUAUUCAAUUUCUUUUCACAAAAUAAUUCAGUGUUCAAUUCUUAUUACUUUUAAUACAACUCUUUCUGGGUUGGUCAAGCAAGAAAUUGGCAUGGAAGUGUCCAUCAAAGAAAUUGAUGACAGAUGGAAUUCAUCGAGAAAUUGGCUGAAGAAUGGAGGAAGUUUGAAGGGCCAAAGGAGAAUAUGAAAGGUAUUGUGGGAGAAGUUGCGGCGGCGGAGAUAGAAGAGCUCGUCAGCAUAUUUAUGGAUGCCAACAGGCUACAGAGGGGAAGGAACAAGCUCAAUUUCUUGUUUUGAAAUCGUGUAAUUGCUCAGUCAUAAUGCUAGGGAGAUUAAAUCAAUUUUUCCAACAAUUUCAGAACUACCCACAAAAUUAUCAUCCAAAAAUAAAAAUACUCAUCAAAUUUUCACCCACUAUAACACAUGAACCAAAAUUUACAGAUACCCAUUGAAUUAUCUCUACACAAAUGGUCGCCUCAGUGAUUCAUAGAAAUUCUUGAAUCCAUUUCAUAAUAUGGGUACAAGGUCAAACCCGAAAUCUUUUCAAGACUUAUUGAAACUUGCAUCAAUGAAAUGUCAGUGCAUUUAGACGUAAGCCACACAAAAAGAUGAAAUUCGGAUUGAAAAAAUUAACCCUAUUAUUGAAACAAAAAGGAUAAAAUUUGAAAUGAAAAUUGAACCUGUUAUUGAAACAGUUAUGAAGAAAAACAUUACCUAAUGAGAUAUCGCACUACAGAGUAAUAUUCAGUCGAAAGAAUUCGUAAUCCCAGAGCACUAGCACUAUAUGUUGGUAUUUUAGCGGUGAACAAGGAAGACCGAUCAAUGAGGCUAGUGUAUAUUAUGUAAUCUGUGUAGUUUCUUCUCUUAGUUUUUUUAUCAUUUAAUUUCGGUAGCACUUUACACAAAUAUGCCCUGCUAUACCCAAUCUAUUCUAGUAGUUUGAGAAAAGAUUUACUUACUGAUUACUGGUGCAAAAAAAAUGAACACUUUCAGAUUUUAUUGCUCCAAAAAAAAAAAAAGAAGAAUACUCCAGUGGUGAGGUGGCAUUGAUAUGUGGCAUCCACCUCAUCAAAUGUUAGGCCAUGGUGGACAACUGCUAAAAUUAGGAGUAUGUUUACAUACAUUGUUAACGAUAGGAACGUAUUUAACCUUAACAUAUAACGAAGAACAAACUUAACCAAUUCACUAAAGUAAAGAGGUAUUUUUGACCGUUUUCCCUUAUUAUGCCGAUUCCUCUCUCCAUAUAUUUUAGAUUAGAAGAAGGCAAAGGCUAAUUGCCACUUUUUUUUUUGUUUGCCUAAACUUUUGGGACGUUAAAAUCACUUGCUUUUAAAAAAAAAAUAAUAAAGUGUUUGACCAAGCUUCUGAGAGAAAUGAAGAAUAACAAAAGCUAGAAAAAAAAAAUCUCCAAAAAUACAUACUACAAAACACUUCUAAAAAAACAGAGCUAAAUCAAACACUAAUUAUUGCUAAAAAAUGCUUUUAAAAGUGCUUUUAAAAGUACUUAAAAGUACUUGUUUUAAAAAGAAACCCUUUUGAAAUAAAGCUAAAUUUAGAAACUUAGCCAAACAGGCUAUUACAUGUUUGGUUUCUUAACUUCCUUCACUUGGAUAUAUAAAAUUCACAAGGAAAAUAUAUCACAAAUUAGUGUGGAGGUCUACGAUGGCCUUUGCUUCAUUUUGUUCAUACAAAUUAGUCUGAAGAUGUUUUGGAAACGUGAGCUUGCUCUGAAAAAUCAGCUAGUAACUCCAUACUUCAGCUGUACAAGCAGAUGAGCAUCAUGAACUCCAUUUCAUAUGUUGUC
Molecule: long non-coding RNA, 15686 nt
Filed under: Capsicum annuum
Lineage: Eukaryota; Viridiplantae; Streptophyta; Magnoliopsida; Solanales; Solanaceae
Description: long non-coding RNA (CANN_LNC008365)
Source: RNAcentral